GGGCAAGUCUGGUGCCAGCAGCCGCGGUAAUUCCAGCUCCAAUAGCGUAUAUUAAUUUUGUUGCGGUUAAAAAGCUCGUAGUUGGAUCUCGGUUUCGGGCGAGCGGUGUACCUUGCGGUAUUUACUGUUUGCCCGGACGAUUUUGUUGGUUCGUUUAUGGUUCUCUUAACCGAGUGCCAUAAGUGGCCAGCACGUUUACUUUGAAAAAAUUGGAGUGCUCAAAGCAGGCGCUACAGCCUGAACAUUAGUGCAUGGAAUAAUGGAAUAGGAUCUCGGUUCUAUUUCGUUGGCUUUCGGAGUCGAGGUAAUGAUUAAUAGGGACAGACGGGGGCAUUCGUACUGCGACGUUAGAGGUGAAAUUCUUGGAUCGUCGCAAGACGAACUACUGCGAAAGCAUUUGCCAAGAAUGU
This 410-nucleotide ribosomal RNA is filed under the name Parisotoma notabilis. Its description in RNAcentral is "SSU rRNA". It matches the Rfam family "Eukaryotic small subunit ribosomal RNA", at positions 553 to 967 of the family's 1831-position model. Lineage: Eukaryota; Metazoa; Arthropoda; Collembola; Entomobryomorpha; Isotomidae. The record is from RNAcentral.